GACGAACGCUGGCGGCGUGCUUAACACAUGCCAGUCGAACGGAAAGGCCCUGCUUUUGUGGGGUGCUCGAGUGGCGAACGGGUGAGUAACACGUGAGUAACCUGCCCUUGACUUUGGGAUAACUUCAGGAAACUGGGGCUAAUACCGGAUAGGAGCUCCUGCUGCAUGGUGGGGGUUGGAAAGUUUCGGCGGUUGGGGAUGGACUCGCGGCUUAUCAGCUUGUUGGUGGGGUAGUGGCUUACCAAGGCUUUGACGGGUAGCCGGCCUGAGAGGGUGACCGGCCACAUUGGGACUGAGAUACGGCCCAGACUCCUACGGGAGGCAGCAGUGGGGAAUAUUGCACAAUGGGCGGAAGCCUGAUGCAGCAACGCCGCGUGCGAGAUGACGGCCUUCGGGUUGUAAACCGCUUUCGCCUGUGACGAAGCGUGAGUGACGGUAAUGGGUAAAGAAGCACCGGCUAACUACGU
RNAcentral lists this ribosomal RNA (467 nucleotides) under uncultured bacterium. RNAcentral describes it as "partial 16S ribosomal RNA". It matches the Rfam family "Bacterial small subunit ribosomal RNA", at positions 28 to 506 of the family's 1533-position model. The record is from RNAcentral.